GAGUCUUUAACAAAAGUUUGACAAUUCACAGUAUUCUCCCAUUUAGAUUUGAGGAGGUAAUUGUGGAUUUGAAUGAUAUUUAUGUGGUGUGAAAUAUGUUUUGAAGCAAUUAUGCAUCAAUUAUUAUUUUUAAUUGUUGAUCAAAUAAACAAUUUCGGGGCAUAAUGUGAAUUUUAUGUUUAUAUAUGUUCACUAUUAAUAUGAAAAUUAUGA
This 213-nucleotide unclassified non-coding RNA is filed under the name Hevea brasiliensis (rubber tree). The record is from RNAcentral. Lineage: Eukaryota; Viridiplantae; Streptophyta; Magnoliopsida; Malpighiales; Euphorbiaceae.